RNAcentral lists this non-coding RNA (29 nucleotides) under Cricetulus griseus (Chinese hamster). Lineage: Eukaryota; Metazoa; Chordata; Mammalia; Rodentia; Cricetidae. The record is from RNAcentral.
AGCAGUGAUUAUGUGUCUGACACUUGUGA